GAUGAAGAAUGCAGCGAAAUGCGAUAAGUAAUGUGAAUUGCAGAAUUCAGUGAAUCAUCGAAUCUUUGAACGCACAUUGCGCCCGCGAGUAUUCUCGCGGGCAUGCCUGUCCGAGCGUCAUUUCAACCCUCAGGGCCCGCCUGCUUGCAGGCGCGGCGCUGGUGUUGGGGAUCGGCUACCCUGCCGUCCCCCAAAUACAGUGGCGGUCUCGCUGCAGCCUCCCCUGCGUAGUAGCAACACUCGCAUGCGGAGCGCGGCGCGGCCACGCCGUAAAACCCCCGACUUUCUGAACGUUGACCUCGGAUCAGGUAGGAAUACCCGCUGAACUUAAGCAUAUCAAUAAGCGGAGGA
RNAcentral lists this unclassified non-coding RNA (351 nucleotides) under soil metagenome. RNAcentral's name for it is "partial contains 5.8S ribosomal RNA, internal transcribed spacer 2, and large subunit ribosomal RNA". The stretch from base 1 to 120 matches the Rfam family "5.8S ribosomal RNA", at positions 35 to 154 of the family's 154-position model. The record is from RNAcentral.